Molecule: long non-coding RNA, 988 nt
Organism: Podarcis raffonei (Aeolian wall lizard)
Lineage: Eukaryota; Metazoa; Chordata; Lepidosauria; Squamata; Lacertidae
Exons: 2
Source: RefSeq, a predicted model, not a curated record
GACAUAUGCUGAUAGCUUCUAGGAACCACAGAUGAAAGCUGAGUGCAGAGUGGGAACCAAAGGUAGACAAAUAUCCCAGAAGGUGCACAACAUGUCCCCCACCACAGGUACACGUGGUAGCUCUCACAUUUCCAAGGAUCCUGUGUACGUCUCUAGGCUGUACAAAUUGAAAUGUAUCCAGUUUCAGCGAGUCUGAACUCCGUAAAGUAGUGAUCCAACCAUGACAAUGGAGCUAUAGAAUGUUCCUGCACUCUAAGACCACCAUCAUCCAAUUCUGCACAGAAUACCAAGUCCAGAGUGCACCCAGAUGCAUGAGUAGGGCCAGAAAUUACUUGGGACAGAGUCGGGCUUCUGACAGAAUACUUGUCCAUCAUUGGGCAGGUAACAGAGUGCACGUGGGCAGUCAAGGAUUACCAUUACUGAUGCUACCACUGAUGCGGAAGACAGGACAGAACAAAAGAGAGAAAUGUCUGAGUAGGCUGGUGAAGUGAGCUAAGCAAGCAAGUGGCCCAGGAAGAAGUCACUGCCAUGCCCACAUUGCUGCCACCACCAAAAGAAGGAAGACUGCACUUCAAAACUGCAGGCUUUCUUUUGUGGGUCAAUAUGGCAGGGGGUGGGGAUGAAGGAGAAAACUCCUUCUGCCCCUUGGUCUUCCUGCCCCCUGGUGGCAGGCGGCCCCAGCAGGAACAACGAGUGAGUCACUGGCCCAGGCAGGUGGAGCAGGUGGUGAAAGGGCGAAAUCACUAACCAAUAUCAUGGAUUGUUACUGGAUGAGGAGGUGUGAGGUCCACCAGAUGCAGUAAUCCCCUCUCCUCACUCCUCCCCCAUCUUGGAAAGUGGCUGUGACCCAAAAAGUCAGGAAAACAACAGUGCCCCAUCCAUGCUGCCACCAAGAGGUUUAAUUAUGAAAUCUUAUAUAUCCUAUUAGCAUACAUGGAGUAAGAUAAUCCUGACUUUAAUAUCUCAUAUUUAAGUCACAUUUUUCUAA